Long non-coding RNA from Tupaia belangeri chinensis (Chinese tree shrew), 1844 nucleotides. RefSeq lists it as uncharacterized. NCBI's taxonomy places the organism in Eukaryota, Metazoa, Chordata, Mammalia, Scandentia, Tupaiidae. The record is from RefSeq and is a predicted model, not a curated record. The transcript is spliced from 4 exons.
GCAGGGAUGGUGAGCAGGAACGGGGAAACGGGUUGGAGGUUCAUAAAUGCUUCGCUGUAGCGUCGGGGACACUGAGGCCGGCAAGGUCAAUGUAUUUUUCCUGACCCAAGGAAGAGAAAUGGAACAGGAAUGAAAUUUAAUGAAGUUUCAGGGUGCCUGAGAUCACUCGACGCUGUGUAACUCUUUACCACCAUGUCACCCUUCAAUGAUCAUGUGGAACAACACGCGGGUUGAAGAAAAAUGACUCCCAGGACCCUCGUUACUUAGGUGUGUGUCGCAGGACUGCUUGUCAUGUUGCCAGCGUUCUGCCUUUUUGUUCCUGAUAUAAAGCGUGUUCACGUCAUCGCAGCUGCUGCUAGUUUAAAAUGGUGAAAACAGUUAACAUGUCUCAGAAAAGGAAGCAGAGAAAUGGUUGCCCAUGCCGCCUAGUUCCCAGUGCCCUCACGUGCAACGCUGUUUACUCCUCACCUGGCUGUGCUCCACAUGCUGUGAUUCGGCACCAGGCUGCUUAGAAAACAACGUUCGACGAUUUAGGGGAGCGCUCUUCUCCAAAACAUAAAUUUACAGCAUCCUGAUGGAACAUUUCGGAAUGUCAAUGGAAAGAAAGCAUAUUUGCCUUCAGUCUGUGGUGACCUCCACAUCCAGAAACCCCAGACAUCUUGGCAAGUUUGUCAACUGCUUUGUUAAGAAGCCAUUGGUCUCAUGAUAGUUGUGCCAUGUUAGAAUUCAUUAUGCAUUCCUAUUUCUGAACUGCCUGGGAGAAUUUUCUCAGCUUGAUGUAAAUCCUUAGAUGGGAGAGACUGAUCAUUGUGAGAAGAAACCACAUUUCCUCCUUUUCCCUUUACUUAGUUAAACAUUUCAAUGGCGUUUUCUCAUUUUAACUGGGUAUAAGGCACUUGCCCAUUGGGGGUUGAAUUAAGUCUGUAAACCAUCAAGGAAAAGAAAAUGUUUAUUCUCCUGUCCUAGUCGUUUUUGAAAAUGAGUCAACAGCAGUAAGUAGCUGCCCUCCCAGGCAGAAAAAACAUAAUUCCAAUAUCUAACAUGUAAGAUGGUGGGAUAUUUUUUGUUUUCUUGAACGUUCUUUUUUUUUGAACAUGCAGUAUGAGAAAACAGUGAUACAAAUGAUUUCUUUUUUUAAGUGUAUUUAUUUCUCCCACAAGUGAGAGAGGCAGAGAAAGACAAAGAUUCAGCGCUUUAAGAUUAGUCCAAUUCGUCCCCUGGCUACAAAUUAUUUACAUUAUUUACACAGGGAAAAUAUAUUAUCCCCUUCCAAAUCCACCCCCAAACCCCAGGUCUCAACUCUUUAUAGCAUUAGCUUAAAGUGUAGAAACUCGUCAUCUUACUCAGUUCCAAGUGCAGAGGUGGUUUCUCUAGUGUUGUUCCUUAAGUUGCAAUUCUAUGAGUACUGUUCCUUUUAUCUCAAGCCCUGGGAGCUAAAAAGAUAAAUUAUUGACCCAUAUACUCACUCAAAAUACAUUUGUGAAGCAGGCCUAAGAUAACUACUCGAGACAAUCCUGUUCAAAAAGAGAAAUCAUGGGAAGCCCAAAGCAAGCAGUAGUUCAGGAUUCUGGGAUCCACCUUAGGCACAUGUUAGAAAUUACUUGGCUCUAACUCGAGGAAUUGCCUCAAGAAUGAUUCUCUGUGGCUCUAGCCUCCUCCUUCUCCUGGAUUCUUGGUUCUUUCCUCUGAUUCAUUCUUCCUUUUCAUGGAAAGAUGGCCUGUUCUGUAGAUAUAUAAUUUUCUCAGUAAAAAAAUUGGGGUUCCUGGGCCAGCAGGUGGGAUGGUGAAUGUGCUGAACUCCCGUAUGAACCUCCAUGGUUUGAGUCCUGGACCUGUGGCUUGCU